Molecule: ribosomal RNA, 497 nt
Filed under: uncultured bacterium
Lineage: Bacteria
Description: partial 16S ribosomal RNA
Rfam family: Bacterial small subunit ribosomal RNA
Source: RNAcentral
GAUGAACGCUGGCGGCGUGCCUAAUACAUGCAAGUCGAGCGAACAGACGAGGAGCUUGCUCCUCUGACGUUAGCGGCGGACGGGUGAGUAACACGUGGAUAACCUACCUAUAAGACUGGGAUAACUUCGGGAAACCGGAGCUAAUACCGGAUAAUAUAUUGAACCGCAUGGUUCAAUAGUGAAAGUCGGUUUUGCUGUCACUUAUAGAUGGAUCCGCGCCGCAUUAGCUAGUUGGUAAGGUAACGGCUUGCCAAGGCAACGAUGCGUAGCCGACCUGAGAGGGUGAUCGGCCACACCGGAACUGAGACACGGUCCAGACUCCUACGGGAGGCAGCAGUAGGGAAUCUUCCGCAAUGGGCGAAAGCUUGACGGAGCAACGCCGCGUGAGUGAUGAAGGUCUUCGGAUCGUAAAACUCUGUUAUUAGGGAAGAACAAAUGUGUAAGUAACUAUGCACGUCUUGACGGUACCUAACCAGAAAGCCACGGCUAACUACGUG